AAAUAACAAUCCCCUUUCCCUGCUUUUCCUGUGGUACCUCUCUCACUUGAGAAAUAUCCAGCAGGGGGUAGUGUGCCCACACCGUACAGCGUGGUCCUACCUCCAGCAGAAAGCUGGAGCGGCGCAGAAAAUGAGCAUUGGGAUCCCUUCAGAGACACGCUGACACUGUGAGACAUCCUGUGCCAUCCCGUGAAGCACAUGCCUUUGAUCUCAGCUGUUUGCUUAGGAAGCGAGGAGCGGUGUCGCUAUGCUGCGUCGAACAACAGCUUGUCGGGUACCAUCGGCUUUGAUCGUACGCCCUACAGCACUGUAGCACAGAAAGAAGACUUGAGGGAAGAAGGAUUUGUCUCAGUCUGCCUUCCCCAGGAUCUUCAGCACUGCUGCAGACCUCUCCUUCCUGCUGGAGGAUCACUUCUGAAGGGUGGACCUGGUGGGCAGAGGAUAGACACGCUGGCUGAAACGCUGCCUUCUGGAACCGCUUCCAUGACGAAGCCAGAGUCAGGACUGCUCCCUCCUCCGCGGUAUGUGUCUCUCCAGACUGUAAGAGGACCUACAUGGAGGAAGUCACAGCCCCAUCCUCAUCUUUCUUCAUCCUGCUCCUGCUUGUAAUUAUGAAGAUAUUUGUAUUAAAUAAAGCUUUGUAAAAAUAAAUCGUAACGAUGAAGGUUUUGUGUGAGGAUGAGACACCCAGAGCAGCCGAGACCCUACGGCAGACAUCGCAGCGUGCCGUCCUUCAGGUACCAUACGGGUGUAUGAGAAAAAUGAGUUUCAAGGACUGGUGCUCAUAACCUAGGACCCUCACCUGCAACGUGCCAGGCCUAGGGCAAGACCCUGACCCCAUCGCUGCGACUUGAGCCUGGACCCAACCCACUGGACUAUCUUGGUUAUUCUUUCCUUCCUUUCUCCUUCCCAGUGAUAAGAGGUCUUGUAAAAUUCCUAAUAACAAUAAAAAUACAUGUUGAAGCUUCA
RNAcentral lists this long non-coding RNA (969 nucleotides) under Struthio camelus australis. RNAcentral describes it as "lncRNA (ENSSCUG00000002632.1)". Lineage: Eukaryota; Metazoa; Chordata; Aves; Struthioniformes; Struthionidae. The record is from RNAcentral.